CAAUAGCGUAUAUUAAAGUUGUUGCAGUUAAAAAGCUCGUAGUUGGAUUUCUGGUGGGAGCGAUCGGUCUGGCGCUUAGCGCGAGUACUUGCAUCGUCUCCGGCCAUCCUUGGGGAGAGUCUGUCUGGCAUUAGGUUGUCGGGCAGAGGAUCCUCAUCGUUUACUGUGAAAAAAUUAGAGUGUUCAAAGCAGGCUUAUGCCGUUGAAUAUAUUAGCAUGGAAUAAUAAGAUAGGACUUUGGUACUAUUUUGUUGGUUUGCGCACCAAAGUAAUGAUUAAUAGGGACGGUUGGGGGUAUUCGUAUUCCGUUGUCAGAGGUGAAAUUCUUGGAUUUACGGAAGACGAACUACUGCGAAAGCAUUUACCAAGGAUGUUUUCAUUAA
RNAcentral lists this ribosomal RNA (383 nucleotides) under uncultured eukaryote. RNAcentral describes it as "partial 18S ribosomal RNA". It matches the Rfam family "Eukaryotic small subunit ribosomal RNA", at positions 592 to 976 of the family's 1831-position model. The record is from RNAcentral.